GAUGAAGAACGUAGUAAAUCGCGAUAUGUAGUGUGAUCUGCCCAUAGUGAAUCAUCAAAUUUUUGAACGCAUCUUGCACCCUUGGGUAUUCCUGAGGGUACGCCUGUUUCAGUAUCAUUCUAACUUCUUUUCCCCUUGAUUGGGGGGAUGGAAAAAUCACCAUUGGCCUGGUUUAGGCGCGUUUUUAACGCGUUUGCUUGGCUUGAAUAGGACUCGGUUUUUGACUGGGUAGUUACCUUUUGGUAGUGAAUUCUGCAAAAAGUAAAAACUUCUCCAUAAAAAAACUCGGGCUUGAUGCCCAAAAUUCAUAUACUUGAUCUGAAAUCAGGCGGGAUUACCCGCUGAACUUAAGCAUAUCAAUAAGCGGAGGA
RNAcentral lists this unclassified non-coding RNA (371 nucleotides) under soil metagenome. RNAcentral's name for it is "partial contains 5.8S ribosomal RNA, internal transcribed spacer 2, and large subunit ribosomal RNA". The stretch from base 1 to 117 matches the Rfam family "5.8S ribosomal RNA", at positions 35 to 154 of the family's 154-position model. The record is from RNAcentral.